AAGAGGCUUAUUCAUUUCACUUUUUGUGUGAAAGGGCCUUAAUAUUUGCUAAAAAUAGAACCUUUUUUGUUGUUAUUAAAAAACAAACAAACAAGCCCAGCCCAGGUGAGGAAGAAACGCAAAAUUAAUGUAACAUUACUUUUCAUAAAAAGUAGCUAACUCAAUUAGUUACUUUUUUAGGGAGUAACGCAAUAUUGUAAUGUAUUACUUUUAAAAGUAACAUUGUCAGUUACACUAUGAAAUCAAGUUAGAACAACCACACAAAUACAUAAGAAAUAAAGAAAAAUAUAGAUAAGAACUUAGCAAGUUGUCAGACUGGAAUAUCCUUGGUUUUUGAGGCAUAGUCGGUUCAUUGUCUUGCGUUUCAGCAUCAGACUCUGGUUCGAACAUGUAUGGCUGAACCUCUCUUGGGGCAUUGAAACUUGUUUUAAAUCACAACACUGUUAUCCAACCAUAGCAGUGGGCAUUUACUUUCAAAUCUUCAAUGCGGCACGCACAGAAAAUGGGAGUGUUUCACAAUUGAGUCUCUAAAACAGUGGAAAAUAGCCUAUUACUUAUGAUGUUUUUGUUUGUUUUUUUAAUGUAAAAAAAAAUGUGGCAAACAUCUUAAGUGGAUCUUAGACAAUAGAAUAAAAUAAUAAAAAACGCAGUUCAUGACCCCUAUUUAAUAAUUAAUAAGUAUAAUUCUUUAUAGUGUUUUAGUUGGCAUCAGUAUUGAGUGUUUGUGGUUUCUUCAGCCAAAUGUAGAAGGAUACUGUACAAUGGAAGUACUAGGCAGUUGUUUGGGCUCUUGUUUAAUAAAUAUAUACACACACACUCACUCAGAA
This is a long non-coding RNA of Megalobrama amblycephala (Wuchang bream), 827 nucleotides long. RefSeq lists it as uncharacterized. The transcript is spliced from 2 exons. The record is from RefSeq and is a predicted model, not a curated record. Lineage: Eukaryota; Metazoa; Chordata; Actinopteri; Cypriniformes; Xenocyprididae.